UGCCCAAGAGAUCGGGAUAACACCUGGAAACAGAUGCUAAUACCGGAUAACAACAGAUGAUGCCUAUCAACUGUUUAAAAGAUGGUUCUGCUAUCACUCCUGGAUGGACCUGCGGUGCAUUAGCUAGUUGGUAGGGUAACGGCCUACCAAGGCGAUGAUGCAUAGCCGAGUUGAGAGACUGAUCGGCCACAUUGGGACUGAGACACGGCCCAAACUCCUACGGGAGGCAGCAGAC
Molecule: ribosomal RNA, 235 nt
Filed under: uncultured Lactobacillus sp.
Lineage: Bacteria; Bacillati; Bacillota; Bacilli; Lactobacillales; Lactobacillaceae
Description: partial 16S ribosomal RNA
Rfam family: Bacterial small subunit ribosomal RNA
Source: RNAcentral